RNAcentral lists this ribosomal RNA (253 nucleotides) under uncultured bacterium. Its description in RNAcentral is "partial 16S ribosomal RNA". It matches the Rfam family "Bacterial small subunit ribosomal RNA", at positions 524 to 776 of the family's 1533-position model. The record is from RNAcentral.
GACAGAGGGGGCAAGCGUUGCUCGGAAUUACUGGGCGUAAAGGGCGCGUAGGCGGGAUGGCAAGUCGGUCGUGAAAUCCCUCGGCUCAACUGAGGAGCGUCGAUCGAAACUGCCGUUCUUGAGGGUUGCAGAGGAGACUGGAAUUCCCGGUGUAGCGGUGAAAUGUGUAGAGAUCGGGAGGAACACCGGUGGCGAAGGCGGGUCUCUGGGCAAUUCCUGACGCUGAGGCGCGAAAGCGUGGGGAGCAAACGGG